GGGUUGUGAGGUUAAGCGACUAAGCGUACACGGUGGAUGCCCUGGCAGUCAGAGGCGAUGAAGGACGUGCUAAUCUGCGAUAAGCGUCGGUAAGGUGAUAUGAACCGUUAUAACCGGCGAUUUCCGAAUGGGGAAACCCAGUGUGUUUCGACACACUAUCAUUAACUGAAUCCAUAGGUUAAUGAGGCGAACCGGGGGAACUGAAACAUCUAAGUACCCCGAGGAAAAGAAAUCAACCGAGAUUCCCCCAGUAGCGGCGAGCGAACGGGGAGGAGCCCAGAGCCUGAAUCAGUGUGUGUGUUAGUGGAAGCGUCUGGAAAGGCGCGCGAUACAGGGUGACAGCCCCGUACACAAAAAUGCACAUGCUGUGAGCUCGAUGAGUAGGGCGGGACACGUGGUAUCCUGUCUGAAUAUGGGGGGGGAGUGAAAAAGAACCUGAAACCGUGUACGUACAAGCAGUGGGAGCACAGAGCAAUCUGUGUGACUGCGUACCUUUUGUAUAAUGGGUCAGCGACUUAUAUUCUGUAGCAAGGUUAACCGAAUAGGGGAGCCGAAGGGAAACCGAGUCUUAACUGGGCGUUAAGUUGCAGGGUAUAGACCCGAAACCCGGUGAUCUAGCCAUGGGCAGGUUGAAGGUUGGGUAACACUAACUGGAGGACCGAACCGACUAAUGUUGAAAAAUUAGCGGAUGACUUGUGGCUGGGGGUGAAAGGCCAAUCAAACCGGGAGAUAGCUGGUUCUCCGGGUCAUCCCGACUUACCAACCCGAUGCAAACUGCGAAUACCGGAGAAUGUUAUCACGGGAGACACACGGCGGGUGCUAACGUCCGUCGUGAAGAGGGAAACAACCCAGACCGCCAGCUAAGGUCCCAAAGUCAUGGUUAAGUGGGAAACGAUGUGGGAAGGCCCAGACAGCCAGGAUGUUGGCUUAGAAGCAGCCAUCAUUUAAAGAAAGCGUAAUAGCUCACUGGUCGAGUCGGCCUGCGCGGAAGAUGUAACGGGGCUAAACCAUGCACCGAAGCUGCGGCAGCGACACUGUGUGUUGUUGGGUAGGGGAGCGUUCUGUAAGCCUGUGAAGGUGUGCUGUGAGGUAUGCUGGAGGUAUCAGAAGUGCGAAUGCUGACAUAAGUAACGAUAAAGCGGGUGAAAAGCCCGCUCGCCGGAAGACCAAGGGUUCCUGUCCAACGUUAAUCGGGGCAGGGUGAGUCGACCCCUAAGGCGAGGCCGAAAGGCGUAGUCGAUGGGAAACAGGUUAAUAUUCCUGUACUUGGUGUUACUGCGAAGGGGGGACGGAGAAGGCUAUGUUGGCCGGGCGACGGUUGUCCCGGUUUAAGCGUGUAGGCUGGUUUUCCAGGCAAAUCCGGAAAAUCAAGGCUGAGGCGUGAUGACGAGGCACUACGGUGCUGAAGCAACAAAUGCCCUGCUUCCAGGAAAAGCCUCUAAGCAUCAGGUAACAUCAAAUCGUACCCCAAACCGACACAGGUGGUCAGGUAGAGAAUACCAAGGCGCUUGAGAGAACUCGGGUGAAGGAACUAGGCAAAAUGGUGCCGUAACUUCGGGAGAAGGCACGCUGAUAUGUAGGUGAAGUCCCUCGCGGAUGGAGCUGAAAUCAGUCGAAGAUACCAGCUGGCUGCAACUGUUUAUUAAAAACACAGCACUGUGCAAACACGAAAGUGGACGUAUACGGUGUGACGCCUGCCCGGUGCCGGAAGGUUAAUUGAUGGGGUUAGCGCAAGCGAAGCUCUUGAUCGAAGCCCCGGUAAACGGCGGCCGUAACUAUAACGGUCCUAAGGUAGCGAAAUUCCUUGUCGGGUAAGUUCCGACCUGCACGAAUGGCGUAAUGAUGGCCAGGCUGUCUCCACCCGAGACUCAGUGAAAUUGAACUCGCUGUGAAGAUGCAGUGUACCCGCGGCAAGACGGAAAGACCCCGUGAACCUUUACUAUAGCUUGACACUGAACAUUGAGCCUUGAUGUGUAGGAUAGGUGGGAGGCUUUGAAGUGUGGACGCCAGUCUGCAUGGAGCCGACCUUGAAAUACCACCCUUUAAUGUUUGAUGUUCUAACGUGGACCCGUGAUCCGGGUUGCGGACAGUGUCUGGUGGGUAGUUUGACUGGGGCGGUCUCCUCCUAAAGAGUAACGGAGGAGCACGAAGGUUGGCUAAUCCUGGUCGGACAUCAGGAGGUUAGUGCAAUGGCAUAAGCCAGCUUGACUGCGAGCGUGACGGCGCGAGCAGGUGCGAAAGCAGGUCAUAGUGAUCCGGUGGUUCUGAAUGGAAGGGCCAUCGCUCAACGGAUAAAAGGUACUCCGGCCUCGAUGUCGGCUCAUCACAUCCUGGGGCUGAAGUAGGUCCCAAGGGUAUGGCUGUUCGCCAUUUAAAGUGGUACGCGAGCUGGGUUUAGAACGUCGUGAGACAGUUCGGUCCCUAUCUGCCGUGGGCGCUGGAGAACUGAGGGGGGCUGCUCCUAGUACGAGAGGACCGGAGUGGACGCAUCACUGGUGUUCGGGUUGUCAUGCCAAUGGCACUGCCCGGUAGCUAAAUGCGGAAGAGAUAAGUGCUGAAAGCAUCUAAGCACGAAACUUGCCCCGAGAUGAGUUCUCCCUGACCCUUUAAGGGUCCUGAAGGAACGUUGAAGACGACGACGUUGAUAGGCCGGGUGUGUAAGCGCAGCGAUGCGUUGAGCUAACCGGUACUAAUGAACCGUGAGGCUUAACCUUACAACGCCGAAGGUGUUU
RNAcentral lists this ribosomal RNA (2732 nucleotides) under Escherichia coli O157:H-. RNAcentral's name for it is "23S ribosomal RNA". It matches the Rfam family "Bacterial large subunit ribosomal RNA". Lineage: Bacteria; Pseudomonadati; Pseudomonadota; Gammaproteobacteria; Enterobacterales; Enterobacteriaceae. The record is from RNAcentral.